CAUGUAGGCGGCUUUGUAAGUCGGGCGUGAAAAUGCGGGGCUCAACCCCGUAUGGCGCUUGAAACUGCAAGGCUUGAGUGCAGGAGAGGAAAGGGGAAUUCCCAGUGUAGCGGUGAAAUGCGUAGAUAUUGGGAGGAACACCAGUGGCGAAGGCGCCUUUCUGGACUGUGUCUGACGCUGAGAUGCGAAAGCCAGGGUAGCGAACG
Molecule: ribosomal RNA, 206 nt
Filed under: uncultured bacterium
Lineage: Bacteria
Description: partial 16S ribosomal RNA
Rfam family: Bacterial small subunit ribosomal RNA
Source: RNAcentral